UACGUAGGGUGCGAGCGUUAAUCGGAAUUACUGGGCGUAAAGCGUGCGCAGGCGGUUUUGUAAGCCAGAUGUGAAAUCCCCGGGCUUAACCUGGGAAUGGCAUUUGGGACUGCAAGGCUUGAGUGCGGCAGAGGAGACUGGAAUUCCUGGUGUAGCAGUGAAAUGCGCAGAUAUCAGGAGGAACACCGGUGGCGAAGGCGGGUCUCUGGGCCGUAACUGACGCUGAGGAGCGAAAGCGUGGGGAGCAAACAGG
RNAcentral lists this ribosomal RNA (253 nucleotides) under uncultured bacterium. RNAcentral describes it as "partial 16S ribosomal RNA". It matches the Rfam family "Bacterial small subunit ribosomal RNA", at positions 524 to 776 of the family's 1533-position model. The record is from RNAcentral.